This is an RNA transcript of Fragaria vesca subsp. vesca, 1135 nucleotides long. RefSeq lists it as uncharacterized. The transcript is spliced from 3 exons. NCBI's taxonomy places the organism in Eukaryota, Viridiplantae, Streptophyta, Magnoliopsida, Rosales, Rosaceae. The record is from RefSeq and is a predicted model, not a curated record.
ACACACAUACCGAUAAUAAUUGUACCUGCAGGUAUUGGUGAUUGAUGGGAAGAUGCAGAGUGCAGAAGUGGACGAGUUUAUGUAUCGUGAAUGCUUAAUACAUCGUGCCCUUUUAUCUCACCCAAAGUCCGUCGUCUAUAUUACUAAUGUUGCGUUCCAUUUCCAUUUGUUAAUACUCCAUAUCUAAUAUGUAUGUACUUUUAUAUAUAAUUCUGCAGGCCUAAGAAUGUGUUCAUUAUGGGAGGUGGGGAAGUGUCAGCUGCAAGAGAAGCUCUUAAGCACAAAUUACUUGAAAAAGUGGUUAUGUGUGAUAUAGAUUAGGUUACUAAUCAGCACAAUAUAUAUGCUCGAAUCAAGUUAUCUUACAUUUUCGUUGAAUUCAAUAAUGUCUUUCCCAUGAGCCAUAUGUGUUACUUUCAACUAGCUAGUAGCACUUACACUUGUUCAUGUCUUGUAUAUAACUACUUCCUAUGAAUAACAAGAAAAAUAUUGUGCCAUUUGACAGUGAACAAGGAGGCCUUUGCUCACAAUAAGCUUAACCUUGUUUUCAAUGAUGCCAAGAAAGUUCAAAGCUCUAUUUUGUUUACUGGUGGGAUUCAAUCUGUAAUCACUACCUCACACAUUGUUGGUCUGAACUUAUUUGGUAUAAUGCUCAUAUAAAAGAUUUUUCUAUGGUUGUGACUACGAGUGUAUAACUUACAGAAAUGUUUGCUAUAUAUGAAAGGGCUGACUAGAAUAAGAGCCGCGAAGAAUUCGAUAUUAUAGUGGGACAUUUAGCAGAACCAGUUGAAGGAGGGCCUUGCUAUCAGCUUUACACAAAAUCCUUCUAUGAGAAAGUCCUCAAACCCAAGCUUAAUCAUGGUGGCAUUUUUGUGACCCAGGCUGGACCAGCAGGCAUUUUCACCCACAUAGAGGUCUUUACAUCCAUAUUCAACACCAUCAAACAGGUCUUCAAAUCUUCAGAAAAUGGACAAUUUCCUCUUUCCCUUCGAGUCUGUGAGGGACACCCCAAUAAGCUCCGUAAUCAAAUUUGUGAUGCAGUGCUUGAAUUUUUGUGUAGUAUGAUAUAUAAUGUAUAAGCUCCACAAUCAAAUUUCUGAUGGAGUGCUUAAAUUUUCUAUAGUAUGAUGUAUAA